RNAcentral lists this ribosomal RNA (464 nucleotides) under uncultured bacterium. RNAcentral's name for it is "bacterial SSU rRNA". It matches the Rfam family "Bacterial small subunit ribosomal RNA", at positions 29 to 526 of the family's 1533-position model. The record is from RNAcentral.
AACGAACGCUGGCGGCAGGCCUAACACAUGCAAGUCGAACGUGAAGCCGGGCUUCGGCCCGGUGGAAAGUGGCAGACGGGUGAGUAACGCGUGGGAAUCUACCCAGUGGUACGGAAUAACUUCGGGAAACCGGAGCUAAUACCGUAUACGCCCUUCGGGGGAAAGAUUUAUCGCCAUUGGAUGAGCCCGCGUCGGAUUAGCUUGUUGGUGGGGUAAAAGCCUACCAAGGCGACGAUCCGUAGCUGGUCUGAGAGGAUGAUCAGCCACACUGGGACUGAGACACGGCCCAGACUCCUACGGGAGGCAGCAGUGGGGAAUAUUGCACAAUGGGCGCAAGCCUGAUGCAGCCAUGCCGCGUGAGUGAAGAAGGCCUUAGGGUUGUAAAACUCUUUCACCGGUGAAGAUAAUGACGGUAGCCGGAGAAGAAGCCCCGGCUAACUCCGUGCCAGCCGCCGCCGUAACAC